RNAcentral lists this ribosomal RNA (521 nucleotides) under uncultured Glomus. RNAcentral describes it as "SSU rRNA". It matches the Rfam family "Eukaryotic small subunit ribosomal RNA", at positions 569 to 1093 of the family's 1831-position model. Lineage: Eukaryota; Fungi; Glomeromycota; Glomeromycetes; Glomerales; Glomeraceae. The record is from RNAcentral.
AGCAGCCGCGGUAAUUCCAGCUCCAAUAGCGUAUAUUAAAGUUGUUGCAGUUAAAAAGCUCGUAGUUGAAUUUCGGGACUAAUAUGUCGGUCGUACUUUGUACGUACUAGCAUUAUUGGUUUCUCCCUUCUGACGAACCACGAUGUCAUUAAUUUGGUGUCGCGGGAAAUCAGGACUGUUACUUUGGAAAAAUUAGAGUGUUUAAAGCAAGCUCGCGCUUGAAUACAUUAGCAUGGAAUAACGAAAUAGGACGUUUGAUUCUAUUUUGUUGGUUUCUAGGAUCGACGUAAUGAUUAAUAGGGAUAGUUGGGGGCAUUAGUAUUCAAUUGUCAGAGUGAAAUUCUUGGAUUUAUUGAAGACUAACUACUUGCGAAAGCAUUUGCCAAGGAUGUUUUCAUUAACCAAGAACGAAAGUUAGGGGAUCGAAGACGAUCAGAUACCGUCGUAGUCUUAACCAUAAACUAUGCCGACUAGGGAUCGGAUGAUGUUAAUUUUUUAAUGACUCAUUCGGCGCCUUACGG